AGCAAGGUGGAGAAGUGGUCUAUCUCGCCAGCCUCAUUAGCUGGAAUCCGUGGGUUCGAAUCCCGCCCUUGCAACCA
Molecule: transfer RNA, 77 nt
Filed under: Oscillospiraceae bacterium
Lineage: Bacteria; Bacillati; Bacillota; Clostridia; Eubacteriales; Oscillospiraceae
Description: tRNA-Met
Rfam family: tRNA
About the family: Transfer RNA (tRNA) molecules are approximately 80 nucleotides in length. Their secondary structure includes four short double-helical elements and three loops (D, anti-codon, and T loops).
Source: RNAcentral